UUGUCAGUGUUCUCCCCAGGAUUUUUGGAUAGCGCUGUGGUAAGCGCGUGAUUUUCGACAAUUCUCAGUAACUUUGUCGCGGCGCGCGGUUGGUUUGUAAUUGAUUUGUUAUGUGUUUUUCUUAUAUAAUGCUAUUGAUGUUUUCUCUUGUAAUGAUGUCCUCAUCAUGCUCAUGGAAGUUACCCCUUUGUUUGCUAAUGUUAUUGUCUGGAUAUAGACAUGAUAGAAGAAAAGUCUUUUUGUCUCCAUUGUAAAUACAUAUAAUCCUCAUAUCAUCUGUCUAUAAAACCCAAGGAGAAGUCUUUUCCAUGGUGGGUCUAUACCAGACUGCCU
RNAcentral lists this long non-coding RNA (333 nucleotides) under Mytilus galloprovincialis (Mediterranean mussel). Lineage: Eukaryota; Metazoa; Mollusca; Bivalvia; Mytilida; Mytilidae. The record is from RNAcentral.